Long non-coding RNA from Notolabrus celidotus (New Zealand spotty), 303 nucleotides. RefSeq lists it as uncharacterized. The record is from RefSeq and is a predicted model, not a curated record. The transcript has 2 exons. Lineage: Eukaryota; Metazoa; Chordata; Actinopteri; Labriformes; Labridae.
CUGUCUCCCCUGUCUCACCUGUCUCCCCUCAGGUUGGAAUGAGAACAGUUUCCUCAGCAGCACGGUGAACAGCUCGGCGGGUGAUGUCACACUGCGGUCAGAUUUUACCCAGAAUGCCUCAGUGAGGUCUGUGCGUGGUGGUCGUGGCUCUGCUCUGGUGUACAGCGUGCCGGUUGAGGACGGACAGCCUCGUUACAGCCUGAGGAGUCGGAGGUCGGACGCGCGCUGAUCCUCAGAUCCACUUCAUCAAACGAUUACUGUUUUUUCUCAAAGUGAAUAAAAAGACGUUUAAAUAAAACCAGA